This is a non-coding RNA of Lupinus albus (white lupine), 538 nucleotides long. NCBI's taxonomy places the organism in Eukaryota, Viridiplantae, Streptophyta, Magnoliopsida, Fabales, Fabaceae. The record is from the annotation of a GenBank genome assembly.
AUGCACUUGUGUGUCAAAGGAGCAACUUUAGUGGUAUGGGACAACGAAAUGAGGUCGAAGAAUAAAAUAAACAAGUAGUCUUGUCAAUUCUACUUCAAAAGAAGUUCUAAGGUGGUGAGAUAAAAGAAUAAGGUUCUUGACAUUGUAUUGUUGGAGUGCAUUUUCCUAUAUCCUCUGCAUUUCCUAUAUGUGGGUUUCUCCCCUGAGCAAGAAAAUGAGGCUCAAGCGACAUUUGUUCAAGCUAUCUGUGGGUUUCUCGUCUGAGCAAUAGGAGAUCGCUGAAGCGUCAGCUCUAGAAUUGGAGCAAAAUCUCUUUGUGGGUUUCUCGCCCAAGCGUCACCUGUCGCCCAAGUGAGACUGUCCGGAUAAGCUUGCUUAUUUUGGUGUUGUUAAUAGGAUGUUUAUCAUAGGAAUAGGUUUGGUUACCUAUUUAUAAGUUUAGGGACUUUUAAUUCCUUUAUAAAUGUUCCUGGUUAAUCUUUAUAAUAUAAAUAUAUGGGUGUAGUUACACUUUUGCUUUAAAAAAAUAAAAUGAUAU